AGCACGUUAUGGUGGGCGACUCUAAGGAGACUGCCGGUGGCAAACCGGAGGAAGGUGGGGAUGACGUCAAGUCAUCAUGGCCCUUACGGCCUGGGCUACACACGUGCUACAAUGGUCGGUACAAAGGGUUGCCAAGCCGCGAGGUGGAGCUAAUCCCAUAAAACCGAUCGUAGUCCGGAUCGCAGUCUGCAACUCGACUGCGUGAAGUCGGAAUCGCUAGUAAUCGUGAAUCAGAAUGUCACGGUGAAUACGUUCCCGGGCCUU
RNAcentral lists this ribosomal RNA (264 nucleotides) under uncultured Pseudomonas sp. Its description in RNAcentral is "partial 16S ribosomal RNA". It matches the Rfam family "Bacterial small subunit ribosomal RNA", at positions 1120 to 1382 of the family's 1533-position model. The record is from RNAcentral. Lineage: Bacteria; Pseudomonadati; Pseudomonadota; Gammaproteobacteria; Pseudomonadales; Pseudomonadaceae.